This is a long non-coding RNA of Strigops habroptila (Kakapo), 417 nucleotides long. RefSeq lists it as uncharacterized. Lineage: Eukaryota; Metazoa; Chordata; Aves; Psittaciformes; Psittacidae. The record is from RefSeq and is a predicted model, not a curated record. The transcript has 3 exons.
AUAUUUAAUGCUGCCUCUGCACAGGAAUUGUCAACAAGGACUUUCUAUCUCUCCUAACUAAACACUGCUCAUGUCCACCAGUGGCACAAUAAUCCCCAACCACAUUAUGCAAGAUAAAUUAGCCCUAAUAUGAGGUUGCUAAAUGAGCCAAUAUACUACAUGGAGCAAAAGACAUCAAGACAGAAGAGCAUCAUUGGUGGCCAGCUGAGGAGUCCCACGUGUAUUGUUCUACUCCACCCAAUUACAGAGCACCUGAAGAACUGUGCUUCAGAAACCAGUUUGAGAGCUGGCUUUGCCACCUGAGCUCAGUCAGCACCAGCCUUUGUGUGGAAUAGGACUCAAGACAGGCCGAACAGGACAUGGAGCUGUUGGAGCAAGUCCAGAGGAGGCCAUGAGGAUGAUCAGGGGCUGGAGCAC